GACGAACGCUGGCGGCGUGCUUAACACAUGCAAGUCGAACGAAGUGGCGAACGGGUGAGUAACGCGUAAUCAACCUGCCCUUCAGAGGGGGACAACAGUUGGAAACGACUGCUAAUACCGCAUACUGUAGGAGGGGAUUGCGUGUGAUUAGCUAGUUGGAGGGGUAACGGCCCACCAAGGCGAUGAUCAGUAGCCGGUCUGGGAGGAGGAACGGCCACAAUGGGACCGAGGAACGGGCCAGAAUUCUACGGGAGGCAGCAGUGGGGGAACUUCCGGAAUGGAAGGAAGUCUGACGGAGCAACGCCGCGUGAGGGAUGACGGCCUUUGGGUUGUAAAGCUAUGUUAAUCGGGACGCAGUACCGGAAUAGAAAGCCACGGCUAACUACGUGCCAGCAGCCGCGGUAAUAC
This 408-nucleotide ribosomal RNA is filed under the name uncultured bacterium. Its description in RNAcentral is "partial 16S ribosomal RNA". It matches the Rfam family "Bacterial small subunit ribosomal RNA", at positions 28 to 526 of the family's 1533-position model. The record is from RNAcentral.